Pelobates cultripes (western spadefoot toad) is the source of this 629-nucleotide non-coding RNA. The record is from the annotation of a GenBank genome assembly. NCBI's taxonomy places the organism in Eukaryota, Metazoa, Chordata, Amphibia, Anura, Pelobatidae.
GAACAAGGACACAUUGGUUGAACAAGCAAAGUCCACAUAGAAAGAAUUUUUGACUAAAAGCAUCUUGAAAUUAAACAUUCCUAAAUUGUCCUGAAAAAGAAUUAACCCUAUAUAACAUUCCUGAGGUAAGCCAACAGCUCCACCUACUGUUUGAAACAUAUAGGAAUAUUAUAUAAUUGGACCAGGUCAGAAGGUUAACAGAUAAGGAAUGACAUAUAACCCCAUGAUAUAGACACACAGGGGACACCUAAGAGAUACCUAAGAAAAGGACACCUAAAAGAUACACAGAAAGAGACACACACAGAAAAGAAAGGAGAUAGGACACAAGACAAGAGGCGGACAAGAAGACAUCUUGAAACAAUCUUAAAAAUAACAUCCAGAACAUCUAUAGGUAAAUAAAAGCCAAUUACACUAACUAUAAAAUUACAUAACUAAAAGCUAAUAUUUUCUGGGUAAAAGCGGAUAUGAAAUCCGCCAGAUUAGGUUUCAUGAUAGCUCGUGAUAAAGAUUAAUACCUCAAACUGCAGACUGGAAUAUUAAUCAAAAUCAUGAAAUAAAAAAUUUUAAUAUCAAGUUACCCAUUAGAAUAUAAAUCCUAUAACAAUAUAUAGAGUAUUUACCAGAUAAGA